Molecule: long non-coding RNA, 2192 nt
Organism: Parus major (Great Tit)
Lineage: Eukaryota; Metazoa; Chordata; Aves; Passeriformes; Paridae
Exons: 3
Source: RefSeq, a predicted model, not a curated record
UGGAAAAACUAGUGAACUCUGCUUUCCAUUGAGGAGAACUGACUUUGGCAUCCAUGUGCAGGUCCUGAUCCAACUAAAAGUGUAUUUCCUGAAUCAGGGAUAAAUUAUGUGAUGGAGAACUUUCUUCCAAUAAAGAUCUCACAUAUUUUCCUCUGAAACAAGGUGGUCAAAACAACCAGAGAGUUACUUUUGAAACAGCUGUAUUUCUUGAGUGGGAUAAUGGUGUAAUGGGAAAGGCUAUGUGCCUUUUGCAUUUAUACAGCAAUGAGGUACACUUUCUCAUGCGGGGUAACUAAAACAUGAGGAUUUCUUUCACCUUUCUCAUCAAAUUGUGGAAAUUUUGAAUGAAAAGGUAAGUAGAAUCCUACUUUCUUGUAAUCUUGAAAUUAAAAAAUGGGGAAAGACUUUUUGCAGCAUUGUCUGAAUAACAUGACUCUUGAGGCACUAUGUUGACUAGCUCAUCAAAGAGAUUUUCUUCUGUGUCCUUCCUUUGAAAUUACUCAUUCACCGUCGAAUUUUAAUGCAGAAUGCAACUGAAGUUCAAUGUGCAAUCAAAGGAAAAACUGAGUUGUCGCUGACUUUGUGUAUGGCAAAAUUUGAGAAUCUGUGACUUGAGAAGAAAAUAUUUGUCAGGCACAGAACUGUACUGUCCCAGUUUUCUCAUACCAGUCCCAACCUAGUAUUUUCAACAGCCCCCCCACUCUUUCUGGUGCACCCUCUAUUACCAAAUUAGGUUAGGACCUAUUUGUUUCUACCCUUCCCUUUUCUCUUUCUCACCAUCCUCUGUUCUCUUGCAAAGCAUCCCUGUGCUUACUGACUACAUUUAUCACAUGGCUGUGGAGCAUAAGAGUUUGAUAUCCAUUCCUGCAAGUGUGGUUGUAUCAAGGAGAGAGGUCGAAUCAGCCACUGUACCAAACAUGAGAAAAACCCACCCCUGAUAUCAGUGAAUGUAUAAGAAACAGGAGCUGGAAGGCAGUUUUAAAUAUCCCUCCCCUAUCUUUCAGGUAAGAUAUGUGACUUGGAUUCCAGGGAGCCUAUGAGCUGGAGAUGAACUUAAAGCAACAACUUAGUCAUUGUUCCCCAUCUGGACUAUUUUUAAAAUAAUCUUCCUUUAAAAUUUUCAGCUAAGAGUGCUUUCAUAUCGGUUAUUUCACACAUUUCCAAAGCAGAUGUUAUAGCGUGUUAAAGUGUGAACUUGAGAAAUGAAGCAGAAAAUAUGAAGUUGUUUGAGUGUCUGAAAUAGUAUUGGUUCAAGAACAAAAGUAAUUUCUGACCACAACUAUUAACGAUUUUUCAAGGCAGUGAUAUUCCCUCUGUGACAAGAAAUUCAGUAACCUCCUAGAAACAGCUCUCAAGACUUUCUACAAAAUAACAGCAGAAACCUGAGGUUUCUGGCAAGAUUUGUCAUCAAAAGCAUCUCUAGCACUCUCUUGGUAGCCACUGGAAUAGAACUGCUGCUGGUAUUUGUGAACUUGUGCUCCUUGAAAUUUAUGCUGCUAACGACACAACAGUAUGCUGUGAUCGUGAUGAUACAUAAGUAGGAGUAAGUUGCCUUUAUGGAUUUGAGUGAAGUAGCUGAUCAGGCCAGCAUGUGUUUGGUUUUGAGUGAUUUAGAAUGCAGAGCUGUCUCAGAGAUCUCUUUUCAAUGCAAGAUCCUGAAGGUAUAAAAAGAAAAAUACUGCUGAAAAUAGCUUCAAAUCAGUAUCUGCUUCCUGUAAACUGAAUAUAGCAGAUUUUUUUUUCCUGAAAAGGACUUAAGAAUAAGUCCACAAAGUGUCAGAUUUUUAAGUAGUGAACAAGAAAGGAAGGCCUUAAGAGCAAAGAAAGACAGUGACCGAUGUAACACAGGUCCAAGCAGAGGAAGGAAGAAUAUGGUCCUGUACAUGGCAGUCAUAAGAGUACUCCUGCAGAAAGGAAUGCUGGCUUAUUUGGAUGACAGAUGAAGCAACAUCAUCAUUCAAGAAGAUCCUGCACAACAUGGAACUAAACUUUCAGAAAAAUAACUCUGCCUUUUGAAUUGCUACAAAACUGAAAUGGGAUCAUAUUUCUGCAGCAACUUUAUGAAGCUAAAGUUUCUUUCCACUGCUGUUACUGAAUAAAAACUUGUGUGCUGACCAGGUGUCAUAGAGUUACUUUACCUUUAAGAAAAGCUGAAGUUUCUGGGAACUGCCUGGAGUCUUUUCUCCUGACCA